This 157-nucleotide ribosomal RNA is filed under the name uncultured bacterium. Its description in RNAcentral is "partial 16S ribosomal RNA". It matches the Rfam family "Bacterial small subunit ribosomal RNA", at positions 355 to 504 of the family's 1533-position model. The record is from RNAcentral.
UGGGGAAUUUUGGACAAUGGGCGAAAGCCUGAUCCAGCCAUUCCGCGUGAGUGAAGAAGGCCUUCGGGUUGUAAAGCUCUUUCGCAAGGGAAGAACACUUACUUAAUAACACUAAGUGAGGUUGACGGUACCUUGAUAAGAAGCACCGGCUAACUAC